This 450-nucleotide unclassified non-coding RNA is filed under the name Hevea brasiliensis (rubber tree). Lineage: Eukaryota; Viridiplantae; Streptophyta; Magnoliopsida; Malpighiales; Euphorbiaceae. The record is from RNAcentral.
GUGAGUUCCUGUACUUAUUUCAUGUGCAUUUCACAUGUAAUGAUAGAGCUACAAAAAAUUUUUUUGUCAAUUCAUGGGAUAGCGCUAUGGUAUGAUUUGCCUUUUGCCCAUUUAAAGAUAAGACAACCUACUAAUAACAACACCCUCUGAAAGUUCUAUCUGUUUUCUUGUCUACUACAAUUAACUGAUUCCCAACCACUUCUUUUUCAUUUUCAUAAUUUACUAAUUAGUAAUUCAAGUUACAUAAUUAGAAUUUUGGUCAAAUUGCCUCAGAUUUAGGAAGCUAACGUUGUCCAUUUGUAUUGAUCCAUCACCCUCAAGUACUAUUCACCUCUUGUGUGUUUGAAUCACAAGUGAGAAAUCUCAGAAACUGGGCCAUGCGCAGUUGUUCACCUCCACAGACGAUAGUCAUACCAGGGCCGAAGUCCAAAAGAGAUUAUUCAAUUGCUG